Molecule: ribosomal RNA, 497 nt
Filed under: uncultured bacterium
Lineage: Bacteria
Description: partial 16S ribosomal RNA
Rfam family: Bacterial small subunit ribosomal RNA
Source: RNAcentral
GAUGAACGCUGGCGGCGUGCCUAAUACAUGCAAGUCGAGCGAACAGACGAUAAGCUUGCUCCUCUGACGGUAGCGGCUGACGGGUGGGUGACACAUGCAUAACAUACCUAUAAGCCGGGGAGAACUUCGGGAAACCCGAUCUAAUAACGGAUCAUAUGUUGUAACGCUUAGAUCAAUAGUUAAAGACACUUUUUGUGUCUCAUAUAGACGGUUCCGCACUGCAUUAUCUAUGUGGUAAGGUAACGGCUUACCAAGGCAACGAAGCGUAUCUGACCUGAUAGGGUGCUCAGCCACACUGGAACUGAGACACGGUCCAGACUCCUACGGGAGGCAGCAGUAGGGAAUAUUACGCAAUGGGCGAAAGCCUGACGGAGCAACGCCGCGUGGGUGAUGAAGGUCUUCGGAUCGUAAAACUCUGUUAUUAGGAAAGAAAAGAAGUAUAAGAAACUAUCGACGUCUUGACGGUACCUAAACAGUAAGCCACGGCUAACUACGUG